GCCCAGACUCCUACGGGAGGCAGCAGUGGGGAAUAUUGCACAAUGGGGGAAACCCUGAUGCAGCGACGCCGCGUGAGCGAUGAAGUAUUUCGGUAUGUAAAGCUCUAUCAGCAGGGAAGAAAAUGACGGUACCUGACUAAGAAGCCCCGGCUAACUACGUGCCAGCAGCCGCGGUAAUGCGUAGGGGGCAAGCGUUAUCCGGAUUUACUGGGUGUAAAGGGAGCGUAGACGGCAAUGCAAGCCAGAUGUGAAAGCCCGGGGCUCAACCCCGGGACUGCAUUUGGAACUGUGUAGCUGGAGUGUCGGAGGGGCAGGCGGAAUUCCUGGUGUAGCGGUGAAAUGCGUAGAUAUCAGGAGGAACACCGGUGGCGAAGGCGGCCUGCUGGACUGCAACUGACGUUGAGGCCCGAAAGCGUGGGGAGCAAACAGGAUUAGAUACCCCUGUA
Molecule: ribosomal RNA, 446 nt
Filed under: uncultured bacterium
Lineage: Bacteria
Description: bacterial SSU rRNA
Rfam family: Bacterial small subunit ribosomal RNA
Source: RNAcentral